This 612-nucleotide long non-coding RNA is filed under the name Oryzias sinensis (Chinese medaka). Its description in RNAcentral is "lncRNA (ENSOSIG00000013489.1)". The record is from RNAcentral. Lineage: Eukaryota; Metazoa; Chordata; Actinopteri; Beloniformes; Adrianichthyidae.
UGCUCCUGUGCGCAGUGAUCCAGAAGGUGGACUACGUGUUCGCUGAGAACGGUCUGGUGGCCUACAAGAACGGACAGCUGCUCUCUGUGCAGUCCAUUCAGGCCCACAUGGGGGAGGAGCUUCUGCAGGACUUCAUCAACUUCUGCCUGAACUACAUGGCCUCCAUCAAGUUACCCAAGAAGAGGUAACGUCCCACCGUCUGCAGCCUUUAGGGAGGGUCGAGGGUUUGAAUCCCAAACCUGAUAGGGUUCUGCAGUCAUGUUCUGCUGUCAUGUUCUGCAGUCAUGUUCAUGUUCUGCUGUCAUGUUCUGCUGUCAUGUUCUGCAGUCAUGUUCAUGUUCUGCUGUCAUGUUCUGCUGUCAUGUUCUGCAGUUAUGUUCUGCAGUCAUGUUCUUGUUCUGCAGACAUGUUCUGCAGUUAUAUUCUGCAGUUAUAUUCUGCAGUCAUGUUCUGCAGUCAUGUUCUGCAGUCAUGUUCUGCAGUCAUGUUCAUGUUCUGCAGUCAUGUUCAUGUUCUGCAGUCAUGUUCAUGUUCUUCAGUCAUGUUCUGCAGUCAUGUUCUGAAGUCAUGUUCUUGUUCUGCAGCCAUGUUCUUGUUCUGCAGACAUGUUCU